This 2787-nucleotide ribosomal RNA is filed under the name Escherichia coli. RNAcentral describes it as "bacterial LSU rRNA". It matches the Rfam family "Bacterial large subunit ribosomal RNA". The record is from RNAcentral. Lineage: Bacteria; Pseudomonadati; Pseudomonadota; Gammaproteobacteria; Enterobacterales; Enterobacteriaceae. RNAcentral also lists the same sequence under 3 other names.
AGCGUACACGGUGGAUGCCCUGGCAGUCAGAGGCGAUGAAGGACGUGCUAAUCUGCGAUAAGCGUCGGUGAGGUGAUAUGAACCGUUAUAACCGGCGAUUUCCGAAUGGGGAAACCCAGUGUGUUUCGACACACUAUCAUUAACUGAAUCCAUAGGUUAAUGAGGCGAACCGGGGGAACUGAAACAUCUAAGUACCCCGAGGAAAAGAAAUCAACCGAGAUUCCCCCAGUAGCGGCGAGCGAACGGGGAGGAGCCCAGAGCCUGAAUCAGUGUGUGUGUUAGUGGAAGCGUCUGGAAAGGCGCGCGAUACAGGGUGACAGCCCCGUACACAAAAAUGCACAUAUUGUGAGCUCGAUGAGUAGGGCGGGACACGUGGUAUCCUGUCUGAAUAUGGGGGGACCAUCCUCCAAGGCUAAAUACUCCUGACUGACCGAUAGUGAACCAGUACCGUGAGGGAAAGGCGAAAAGAACCCCGGCGAGGGGAGUGAAAAAGAACCUGAAACCGUGUACGUACAAGCAGUGGGAGCCUCUUAAUGGGGUGACUGCGUACCUUUUGUAUAAUGGGUCAGCGACUUAUAUUCUGUAGCAAGGUUAACCGAAUAGGGGAGCCGAAGGGAAACCGAGUCUUAACUGGGCGUUAAGUUGCAGGGUAUAGACCCGAAACCCGGUGAUCUAGCCAUGGGCAGGUUGAAGGUUGGGUAACACUAACUGGAGGACCGAACCGACUAAUGUUGAAAAAUUAGCGGAUGACUUGUGGCUGGGGGUGAAAGGCCAAUCAAACCGGGAGAUAGCUGGUUCUCCCCGAAAGCUAUUUAGGUAGCGCCUCGUGAAUUCAUCUCCGGGGGUAGAGCACUGUUUCGGCAAGGGGGUCAUCCCGACUUACCAACCCGAUGCAAACUGCGAAUACCGGAGAAUGUUAUCACGGGAGACACACGGCGGGUGCUAACGUCCGUCGUGAAGAGGGAAACAACCCAGACCGCCAGCUAAGGUCCCAAAGUCAUGGUUAAGUGGGAAACGAUGUGGGAAGGCCCAGACAGCCAGGAUGUUGGCUUAGAAGCAGCCAUCAUUUAAAGAAAGCGUAAUAGCUCACUGGUCGAGUCGGCCUGCGCGGAAGAUGUAACGGGGCUAAACCAUGCACCGAAGCUGCGGCAGCGACACUAUGUGUUGUUGGGUAGGGGAGCGUUCUGUAAGCCUGUGAAGGUGUACUGUGAGGUAUGCUGGAGGUAUCAGAAGUGCGAAUGCUGACAUAAGUAACGAUAAAGCGGGUGAAAAGCCCGCUCGCCGGAAGACCAAGGGUUCCUGUCCAACGUUAAUCGGGGCAGGGUGAGUCGACCCCUAAGGCGAGGCCGAAAGGCGUAGUCGAUGGGAAACAGGUUAAUAUUCCUGUACUUGGUGUUACUGCGAAGGGGGGACGGAGAAGGCUAUGUUGGCCGGGCGACGGUUGUCCCGGUUUAAGCGUGUAGGCUGGUUUUCCAGGCAAAUCCGGAAAAUCAAGGCUGAGGCGUGAUGACGAGGCACUACGGUGCUGAAGCGACAAAUGCCCUGCUUCCAGGAAAAGCCUCUAAGCAUCAGGUAACAUCAAAUCGUACCCCAAACCGACACAGGUGGUCAGGUAGAGAAUACCAAGGCGCUUGAGAGAACUCGGGUGAAGGAACUAGGCAAAAUGGUGCCGUAACUUCGGGAGAAGGCACGCUGAUAUGUAGGUGAAGCGACUUGCUCGUGGAGCUGAAAUCAGUCGAAGAUACCAGCUGGCUGCAACUGUUUAUUAAAAACACAGCACUGUGCAAACACGAAAGUGGACGUAUACGGUGUGACGCCUGCCCGGUGCCGGAAGGUUAAUUGAUGGGGUUAGCGGUAACGCGAAGCUCUUGAUCGAAGCCCCGGUAAACGGCGGCCGUAACUAUAACGGUCCUAAGGUAGCGAAAUUCCUUGUCGGGUAAGUUCCGACCUGCACGAAUGGCGUAAUGAUGGCCAGGCUGUCUCCACCCGAGACUCAGUGAAAUUGAACUCGCUGUGAAGAUGCAGUGUACCCGCGGCAAGACGGAAAGACCCCGUGAACCUUUACUAUAGCUUGACACUGAACAUUGAGCCUUGAUGUGUAGGAUAGGUGGGAGGCUUUGAAGUGUGGACGCCAGUCUGCAUGGAGCCGACCUUGAAAUACCACCCUUUAAUGUUUGAUGUUCUAACGUGGGCCCCUUACCGGGGUUGCGGACAGUGUCUGGUGGGUAGUUUGACUGGGGCGGUCUCCUCCUAAAGAGUAACGGAGGAGCACGAAGGUUGGCUAAUCCUGGUCGGACAUCAGGAGGUUAGUGCAAUGGCAUAAGCCAGCUUGACUGCGAGCGUGACGGCGCGAGCAGGUGCGAAAGCAGGUCAUAGUGAUCCGGUGGUUCUGAAUGGAAGGGCCAUCGCUCAACGGAUAAAAGGUACUCCGGGGAUAACAGGCUGAUACCGCCCAAGAGUUCAUAUCGACGGCGGUGUUUGGCACCUCGAUGUCGGCUCAUCACAUCCUGGGGCUGAAGUAGGUCCCAAGGGUAUGGCUGUUCGCCAUUUAAAGUGGUACGCGAGCUGGGUUUAGAACGUCGUGAGACAGUUCGGUCCCUAUCUGCCGUGGGCGCUGGAGAACUGAGGGGGGCUGCUCCUAGUACGAGAGGACCGGAGUGGACGCAUCACUGGUGUUCGGGUUGUCAUGCCAAUGGCACUGCCCGGUAGCUAAAUGCGGAAGAGAUAAGUGCUGAAAGCAUCUAAGCACGAAACUUGCCCCGAGAUGAGUUCUCCCUGACUCCUUGA